GAAUAAGACUGGAAUUUGCUUUUUAUAAACAGCUGAAUAGAAUGGGGGUGUUUGAAAAUGUGUGGGGGUCAAAGGGGUGCUGUGCUCAGUUGAUGAAGGGGAGCUGAAAAUGAAUUUAUGAUUUCACUGUGGUGGGCAAGAGAAAGAGAAAGCAUUGAUGGGCAUCAUUAUCACGUGCUUAUUAAUGAGUGGAGUAGGAAGAGUGUAAAGGGGGAGUAAAGGUGGUCUUUGUGUUAUAAUGAAUUAUUAACUGUUGAUUUUCUUAUUAAUGUGCGGAGUAGGAGGAGUGCAAAGGGAGAGUAAUGGUGGUCUUUGCGUUAUAAUGAAUUAUUAACUGUUGAUUUUCUUAUUAAUGUGUGGAGUAGGAGGAGUGUAAAGGGAGAGUAAUGGUGGUCUUUGCGUUAUAAUGAAUUAUUAACUGUUGAUUUUCUUAUUAAUGUGCGGAGUAGGAAGAGUGUAAAGGGAGAGUAAUGGUGGUCUUUGAGUUAUAAUGAAUUAUUAACUGUUGAUUUUUUAUUAAUGUGUGGAGUAGGAGGAGUGUAAAGGGAGAGUAAUGGUGGUCUUUGCGUUAUAAUGAAUUAUUAACUGUUGAUUUUCUUAUUAAUGUGCGGAGUAGGAGGAGUGUAAAGGGAGAGUAAUGGUGGUCUUUGUGUUAUAAUGAAUUAUUAACUGUUGAUUUUCUUAUUAAUGUGCGGAGUAGGAGGAGUGUAAAGGGAGAGUAAUGGUGGUCUUUGUGUUAUAAUGAAUUAUUAACUGUUGAUUUUCUUAUUAAUGUGCGGAGUAGGAGGAGUGUAAAGGGAGAGUAAUGGUGGUCUUUGUGUUAUAAUGAAUUAUUAACUGUUGAGUAGGAGGAGUGUAAAAAGAGAGUAAAGGUGGUCUUUGUGUUAUAAUGAAUUAUUAACUGUUGAUUUUCUUAUUAAUGUGUGGAGUAGGAGGAGUGU
Molecule: long non-coding RNA, 941 nt
Organism: Erpetoichthys calabaricus (reedfish)
Lineage: Eukaryota; Metazoa; Chordata; Cladistia; Polypteriformes; Polypteridae
Exons: 3
Source: RefSeq, a predicted model, not a curated record